GAUGAACGCUGGCGGCGUGCCUAAUACAUGCAAGUCGAGCGAACGGACGAGAAGCUUGCUUCUCUGAUGUUAGCGGCGGACGGGUGAGUAACACGUGGAUAACCUACCUAUAAGACUGGGAUAACUUCGGGAAACCGGAGCUAAUACCGGAUGAUAUUUUGAACCGCAUGGUUCAAAAGUGAAAGACGGUCUUGCUGUCACUUAUAGAUGGAUCCGCGCUGCAUUAGCUAGUUGGUAAGGUAACGGCUUACCAAGGCAACGAUGCAUAGCCGACCUGAGAGGGUGAUCGGCCACACUGGAACUGAGACACGGUCCAGACUCCUACGGGAGGCAGCAGUAGGGAAUCUUCAGCAAUGGGAGAAAGCCUGACGGAGCAACGCCGCGUGAGUGAUGAAGGUCUUCGGAUCGUAAAACUCUGUUAUUAGGGAAGAACAUAUGUGUAAGUAACUGUGCACAUCUUGACGGUACCUAAUCAGAAAGCCACGGCUAACUACGUG
RNAcentral lists this ribosomal RNA (497 nucleotides) under uncultured bacterium. Its description in RNAcentral is "partial 16S ribosomal RNA". It matches the Rfam family "Bacterial small subunit ribosomal RNA", at positions 28 to 507 of the family's 1533-position model. The record is from RNAcentral.